This 498-nucleotide ribosomal RNA is filed under the name uncultured bacterium. RNAcentral's name for it is "partial 16S ribosomal RNA". It matches the Rfam family "Bacterial small subunit ribosomal RNA", at positions 27 to 507 of the family's 1533-position model. The record is from RNAcentral.
GGAUGAACGCCGGCGGCGUGCCUAAUACAUGCAAGUCGAGCGAACAGAUGAGGAGCUUGCUCCUCUGACGUUAGCGGCGGACGGGUGAGUAACACGUGGAUAACCUACCUAUAAGACUGGGAUAACUUCGGGAAACCGGAGCUAAUACCGGAUAAUAUAUUGAACCGCAUGGUUCAAUAGUGAAAGACGGUUUUGCUGUCACUUAUAGAUGGAUCCGCGCCGCAUUAGCUAGUUGGUAAGGUAACGGCUUACCAAGGCAACGAUGCGUAGCCGACCUGAGAGGGUGAUCGGCCACACUGGAACUGAGACACGGUCCAGACUCCUACGGGAGGCAGCAGUAGGGAAUCUUCCGCAAUGGGCGAAAGCCUGACGGAGCAACGCCGCGUGAGUGAUGAAGGUCUUCGGAUCGUAAAACUCUGUUAUUAGGGAAGAACAAAUGUGUAAGUAACUAUGCACGUCUUGACGGUACCUAAUCAGAAAGCCACGGCUAACUACGUG